AUUGAACGCUGGCGGAAUGCUUUACACAUGCAAGUCGAACGGUAGAGGGGGCAACCCCUCGAGAGUGGCGAACGGGUGAGUAAUAUAUCGGAACGUGCCCAGUCGUGGGGGAUAACGUAGCGAAAGUUACGCUAAUACCGCAUACGAUCUAAGGAUGAAAGCGGGGGAUCGCAAGACCUCGCGCGAUUGGAGCGGCCGAUAUCAGAUUAGGUAGUUGGUGGGGUAAAGGCUCACCAAGCCAACGAUCUGUAGCUGGUCUGAGAGGACGACCAGCCACACUGGAACUGUGACACGGUCCAGACUCCGACGGGAGGCAGCAGUGGGGAAUUUUGGACAAUGGACGCAAGUCUGAUCCAGCCAUUCCGCGUGCAGGAUGAAGGCCCUCGGGUUGUAAACUGCUUUUGUACGGAACGAAAAGGUCUCUCUUAAUACGGGGGACUCAUGACGGUACCGUAAGAAUAAGCACCGGCUAACUACGUUCCAGCCGCCGCAGUAA
RNAcentral lists this ribosomal RNA (496 nucleotides) under uncultured bacterium. Its description in RNAcentral is "partial 16S ribosomal RNA". It matches the Rfam family "Bacterial small subunit ribosomal RNA", at positions 30 to 523 of the family's 1533-position model. The record is from RNAcentral.